This 439-nucleotide ribosomal RNA is filed under the name uncultured bacterium. RNAcentral's name for it is "partial 16S ribosomal RNA". It matches the Rfam family "Bacterial small subunit ribosomal RNA", at positions 338 to 795 of the family's 1533-position model. The record is from RNAcentral.
CCUAGGGUGGCAGCAGUGGGGAAUAUUGCACAAUGGGGGGAACCCUGAUGCAGCAACGCCGCGUGGGUGAAGAAGUACUCCGGUAUGUAUAGCCCUGUCAGCUGGGAAGAAAAUGACGGUACCUGACCACGAAGCUCCGGCUAACUACGUGCCAGCAGCCGCGGUAAUACGUAGGGGGCAAGCGUUAUCCGGAUUUACUGGGUGUAAAGGGAGCGUAGACGGCAAGGCAAGUCUGGAGUGAAAGCCCGUGGCCCAACCACGGGACUGCAUUGGAAACUGUGUUGCUGGAGUGCAGGAGGGGUAGGCGGAAUGCCUAGUGUAGCGGUGAAAUGCGUAGAUAUUAGGAAGAACACCGGUGGCGAAGGCGGCUUACUGGACUGUAACUGACGUUGAGGCUCGAAGGCGUGGGGAGCAAACAGGAUUAGAUACCCGGGUAGUC